AGAUUUCCGAAUGGGGGAACCCACUAUCUUUAGUCGGAUAGUAUCCUUACGUGAAUACAUAGCGUGAGGAAGGCAGACCCAGGGAACUGAAACAUCUAAGUACCUGGAGGAAGAGAAAGAAAAAUCGAUUUCCUGAGUAGCGGCGAGCGAAACGGAAAGAGCCCAAACCAAGAAGCUUGCUUCUUGGGGUUGUAGGACACUCUAUACGGAGUUACAAAAGAAAGUUAUAAAUGAAGCGGUCUGGAAAGGCCCGCCAAAGACGGUAACAGCCCGGUAGUUGAAAUGGCUUUCCCUCCAGAGUGGAUCCUGAGUACGGCGGAACACGUGAAAUUCCGUCGGAAUCCGGGAGGACCAUCUCCCAAGGCUAAAUACUCCCUAGUGACCGAUAGUGAACCAGUACCGUGAGGGAAAGGUGAAAAGCACCCCGGAAGGGGAGUGAAACAGUUCCUGAAACCGUGUGCCUACAAGUAGUUAGAGCCCGUUAAUGGGUGAUAGCGUGCCUUUUGUAGAAUGAACCGGCGAGUUACGAUUUGUUGCAAGGUUAAGCGGAAAAAGCGGAGCCGUAGCGAAAGCGAGUCUGAAUAGGGCGCAUAAGUAACAGGUCGUAGACCCGAAACCAGGUGAUCUACCCAUGUCCAGGAUGAAGGUAAGGUAAUACUUACUGGAGGUCCGAACCCACGCACGUUGAAAAGUGCGGGGAUGAGGUGUGGGUAGCGGAGAAAUUCCAAUCGAACUUGGAGAUAGCUGGUUCUCUCCGAAAUAGCUUUAGGGCUAGCCUCGAGGUAAAGAGUCAUGGAGGUAGAGCACUGUUUGGACUAGGGGCCCUUCUCGGGUUACCGAAUUCAGAUAAACUCCGAAUGCCAUGUACUUAUACUCGGGAGUCAGACUGCGAGUGAUAAGAUCCGUAGUCGAAAGGGAAACAGCCCAGACCACCAGUUAAGGUCCCCAAAUAUAUGUUAAGUGGAAAAGGAUGUGGGGUUGCUUAGACAACCAGGAUGUUGGCUUAGAAGCAGCCACCAUUGAAAGAGUGCGUAAUAGCUCACUGGUCGAGUGACCCCGCGCCGAAAAUGUACCGGGGCUAAACAUAUUACCGAAACUGUGGAUGAACCUCUUCGGAGGUUCGUGGUAGGAGAGCGUUCUAAGGGCGGUGAAGUCAGACCGGAAGGACUGGUGGAGCGCUUAGAAGUGAGAAUGCCGGUAUGAGUAGCGAAAGAAGGGUGAGAAUCCCUUCCACCGAAUAUCUAAGGUUUCCUGAGGAAGGCUCGUCCGCUCAGGGUUAGUCGGGACCUAAGCCGAGGCCGAUAGGCGUAGGCGAUGGACAACAGGUAGAGAUUCCUGUACCAGUGCUAAUUGUUUAACCGAUGGGGUGACACAGAAGGAUAGGGAAUCGCACGAAUGGAAAUGUGCGUCCAAGCAGUGAGUGUGA
This 1426-nucleotide ribosomal RNA is filed under the name Listeria innocua. RNAcentral's name for it is "partial 23S ribosomal RNA". It matches the Rfam family "Bacterial large subunit ribosomal RNA", at positions 108 to 1528 of the family's 2925-position model. Lineage: Bacteria; Bacillati; Bacillota; Bacilli; Caryophanales; Listeriaceae. The record is from RNAcentral.